AGUUUAAUGAUGAUUAUCUUUUUGAUUGCUUUUUGAAGCAAUAUAUGAAAAAACACACGUCACUGACUCUGAAAGCU
Small nucleolar RNA from Sorex fumeus (smoky shrew), 77 nucleotides. RefSeq annotates it as small nucleolar RNA SNORD102. The record is from RefSeq and is a predicted model, not a curated record. Lineage: Eukaryota; Metazoa; Chordata; Mammalia; Eulipotyphla; Soricidae. The transcript has a single exon.